GACGAACGCNGGCGGCGUGCCUAAUACAUGCAAGUCGAACGAGAGCGACCGGUGCUUGCACUGGUCAAUCUAGUGGCGAACGGGUGAGUAACACGUGGGUAACCUGCCCAUCAGAGGGGGAUAACAUCCGGAAACGGAUGCUAAAACCGCAUAGGUCUUCGAACCGCAUGGUUUGAAGAGGAAAAGAGGCGCAAGCUUCUGCUGAUGGAUGGACCCGCGGUGCAUUAGCUAGUUGGUGAGGUAACGGCUCACCAAGGCCGUGAUGCAUAGCCGACCUGAGAGGGUGAUCGGCCACAUUGGGACUGAGACACGGCCCAAACUCCUACGGGAGGCAGCAGUAGGGGAUCUUCCGCAAUGGACGCAAGUCUGACGGAGCAACGCCGCGUGAGUGAAGAAGGUUUUCGGAUCGUNAAAC
This 415-nucleotide ribosomal RNA is filed under the name uncultured bacterium. RNAcentral's name for it is "bacterial SSU rRNA". It matches the Rfam family "Bacterial small subunit ribosomal RNA", at positions 28 to 431 of the family's 1533-position model. The record is from RNAcentral.